Molecule: ribosomal RNA, 301 nt
Filed under: uncultured bacterium
Lineage: Bacteria
Description: partial 16S ribosomal RNA
Rfam family: Bacterial small subunit ribosomal RNA
Source: RNAcentral
CAGUCGCCACGGGAAUACAGAGGAUGCAAGCGUUAUCCGGAAUGAUUGGGCGUAAAGCGUCUGUAGGUGGCUUUUCAAGUCCGCCGUCAAAUCCCAGGGCUCAACCCUGGAACUGCAUUUGAUACUGCUUUGCUUGAGGACUGGAGAGGAGAUCGGAAUUCACGGUGUAGCAGUGAAAUGCGUAGAUAUCGUGAGGAAGGCCAGUGGCGAAGGCGGAUCUCUGGACAGUUCCUGACGCUGAGGCACGAAGGCCAGGGGAGCAAACGGGAUUAGAUACCCGUGUAGUCCCUGUCUCUUAUAC